Molecule: ribosomal RNA, 253 nt
Filed under: uncultured bacterium
Lineage: Bacteria
Description: partial 16S ribosomal RNA
Rfam family: Bacterial small subunit ribosomal RNA
Source: RNAcentral
CACGUAGGGGACGAGCGUUGUCCGGAUUCAUUGGGCGUAAAGCGCGCGUAGGCGGCUCGGCAAGUCGGUCGUGAAAUGCCGGGGCUCAACCCCGGGACUGCGUCCGAUACUCCCGAGCUGGAGGCAGGUAGGGGAGAUCGGAAUUCCGGGUGUAGCGGUGGAAUGCGUAGAUAUCCGGAAGAACACCGGAGGCGAAGGCGGCUUGCUGGACCUGGUCUGACGCUGAGGCGCGAAAGCGUGGGGAGCGAACAGG